Molecule: ribosomal RNA, 253 nt
Filed under: uncultured bacterium
Lineage: Bacteria
Description: partial 16S ribosomal RNA
Rfam family: Bacterial small subunit ribosomal RNA
Source: RNAcentral
UACGUAGGUGGCGAGCGUUGUCCGGAUUUACUGGGCGUAAAGAGCGCGCAGGCGGUCGUACAAGUCGCGUGUGAAAGCCCCCGGCUCAACUGGGGAGGGUCACGCGAUACUGUUCGACUCGAAGGCAGGAGAGGGAAGUGGAAUUCCCGGUGUAGUGGUGAAAUGCGUAGAUAUCGGGAGGAACACCAGUGGCGAAGGCGGCUGCCUGGGCCAGUUCUGACGCUGAGGCGCGAAAGCGUGGGGAGCAAACAGG